This 289-nucleotide long non-coding RNA is filed under the name Coffea arabica (coffee). Its description in RNAcentral is "long non-coding RNA (CARA_LNC002931)". The record is from RNAcentral. Lineage: Eukaryota; Viridiplantae; Streptophyta; Magnoliopsida; Gentianales; Rubiaceae.
AAAAAAACUACUUCCUUAAUCUCCUCUCUCGGCUCUCACGGACAGAGGACAAGAAGAAAAAAAAAGACUCCACCCUUUUGGCUCAAUUUGCUCUCUCGGCUCUCUCCCUCAUCAGACAAGAGGAAAAAAAAAAAAAAAAAAAAAAAAGGGGGCUCCCUCUACACAUUUUCUUCCACAAAAUCCAAACACAUUUGCACACAACAAGGCAGCAAUCGGUUGGAUUGGAGCUUGGCAAUUUCAUCAAAAAUCUUGGCAAAGGGACCAAACUCUUCAUUGAGGACAAUUUGAC